Piliocolobus tephrosceles (Ugandan red Colobus) is the source of this 63-nucleotide small nuclear RNA. Its record names the gene U7. It matches the Rfam family "U7 small nuclear RNA". From Rfam's summary of the family: Animal histone pre-mRNAs are spliced by a different mechanism than nuclear pre-mRNAs and self-splicing introns. This processing involves the U7 snRNP, which contains only one RNA species: U7. Lineage: Eukaryota; Metazoa; Chordata; Mammalia; Primates; Cercopithecidae. The record is from Ensembl.
AUUUGGUAACAGCUCUUUUAGAAUUUGUCUAGCAAGUUUUCUAGUCUGUACCCAAAAGCCUCA